GGCCAGUUAGCUCACUCGGAUGGAGCUUGGUGCUGAUAACACCAAGGUCGCAGGUUCGAUCCCUGUUCGGUCCC
Molecule: transfer RNA, 74 nt
Filed under: Apaloderma vittatum (bar-tailed trogon)
Lineage: Eukaryota; Metazoa; Chordata; Aves; Trogoniformes; Trogonidae
Rfam family: tRNA
About the family: Transfer RNA (tRNA) molecules are approximately 80 nucleotides in length. Their secondary structure includes four short double-helical elements and three loops (D, anti-codon, and T loops).
Source: Rfam by way of RNAcentral